This 287-nucleotide long non-coding RNA is filed under the name Phoenix dactylifera (date palm). RNAcentral describes it as "long non-coding RNA (PDAC_LNC003050)". The record is from RNAcentral. Lineage: Eukaryota; Viridiplantae; Streptophyta; Magnoliopsida; Arecales; Arecaceae.
GCACGGCUCGCACCAGGAUCAUAAUAUUCGAAACCAUGCCCUUGGGGUGGUAUCCGUCCGCCCCUUGAAUCAUGCGAUCUCAGUGGGCAGUAGGAUAACCUGUUUCCUUUUCACUGAACUGUAGUUUCUUAAAGUAAAGCAUGUGUCCUUUGUGGUAGCUGGCGAUCAAGGCAGUCUAGUCCACGAGGCCAACGUAUGAGCGAGUAUUUGUUGUGCUGUCCCCAUCCAAGCCUAGGAUGCACCCAUAUAAAUACCGUACGGUAAUAAUGCAACAACCAUACCGUCUC